RNAcentral lists this ribosomal RNA (408 nucleotides) under uncultured bacterium. RNAcentral describes it as "partial 16S ribosomal RNA". It matches the Rfam family "Bacterial small subunit ribosomal RNA", at positions 29 to 526 of the family's 1533-position model. The record is from RNAcentral.
AGUGAACGCUGGCGGCGUGCCUAAUACAUGCAAGUCGAACGAAGUGGCUCACGGAUGAGUAAUAUAUAGUUAAUCUGCCCUACCCAGAGGAACAACAGUCGGAAACGACUGCUAAUACCUCAUAGUCUAGGAUGAGACUAUAUCGUAUCAGCUAGUUGGUAAGGUAAUGGCUUACCAAGGCUAUGACGCGUAACUGGUGUGAGAGGAUGAUCAGUGACAUUGGAAGGGAGACACGGUCGGAAAUCCUACGGAAGGUAGCAGUAAGGGAUAUAGCGAAGUGGGGGAAACCCUGACGCAGCACCGCCGGGAGGAGGAUGACAAUUUUCGGAGCGUAAACUCUUUUUAAUAGGUAAGCGGUACCUGAUGAAUAAGCAACGGCUAACUCCGUGCCAGCAGCCGCGGUAAUAC